Long non-coding RNA from Rhagoletis pomonella (apple maggot), 1374 nucleotides. RefSeq lists it as uncharacterized. Lineage: Eukaryota; Metazoa; Arthropoda; Insecta; Diptera; Tephritidae. The record is from RefSeq and is a predicted model, not a curated record. The transcript has 3 exons.
GGCUGCCUCUACUGGUGCGCACUUAUACACCACACAAAACUUCAAAACCAUAAUUGCCCUAUUGGUAAUCCGACGAUUGCGUACUUUACCAUCGUCAGUGAACGAUGCAAGCGGAAUGUAAGUUCUGUGUAGAAUUGUAUUAUACUUUAAGGCCCUUAGAAGCAGUUGCCUGCCUUCUAGCCGUAACCGAAGGGUUGAGAGCUCUCGGCUGAACUUCGUGUUGUCAUCUACCGCUGUUUGCACCACUGUCAUUUGCCAUUUGAUGCGGCACACACAUCCGGUAUGCUAAGCUCUACGCUCAUUGCUCGUAUAUAACAGUACUCGGCGGCAGCAUUGAGUUUAGUAUUCGUGUUAUAUUCACAAUGUGCGCUUAAAAACAGUGCUACAACGACGGUCGGUUAAUGAACAAGUAAACUUAAGUAUAAAAAAAUCAAAGAGAUUUGGUUGAACAAGUCAGUCAAUCAACCUACUGUAUAUAUUGCGAUGAGAAAUCGAAAUAAAAAUCAACAAGCUACAUAAGAAAGUGAUUUGAAAUUGGAAUCUGUUUAAAAUUUAAAUGUAAAAUGUAUUUUUGUAAAAUUACAGCUUCGUUGCAAAUAAGUGGAAGUAGUUAUUAUUAAGUGCCCCCGGCGUUCUUAAAAAAUGUGAAAUUAAUUAUACGCCGGGAUUCUGCACAGUAAAAAAAUAUAUAUAGAUACAAUUGUAUAUAUUCGAAUUAUGUUAAUAUGCAGAUAUUUGCGAUUGCAGUUUCGGAAAAUCGGGAUAUACUCCAUUGCUCUACUUUCGUAGGGUUAAAAGUGAGCAGUACAAAGAGCAGAACGAAGUGAAAUUCAGUUAAACAAGUCGAAAAUGUAUACAUAAAUAAAAGAUUAAAAGGCAGAGGCUCUGUAUGGAAAGUGGAGUGGGACCUCUAUGUAAUUACGGGAAUCUUGCACAAAUUGCAAGGGAAUAAAUUGCACUGUACCCCAUUUUUUUGUUCACAGCCGCCCGCCCCAAGAUGCCAAUAAAAUAUAGAAUUUCGUUUGUUAAGUUUGUGUGCGGUAAAUCGUAAGUUUCUUUGUUUAUGCGGGCUGCUGGUUGAUGCUUUCAUUGUUUUGAUUCGCUAUACUCCGCGUCAGUGUAUAUCCGCAAUCAGUGUUCCUUCUGAGUUUUCUCAGUGCUUACCUUUCAAAUAUAACUGCAACAACAUACCUAAGAGUGUAUAUACAUAUGUACAUAUAACUAGUAUGUAUCUGUUUCUAGUAAAAUCAUUUUUUCGGUGUGUCAGUGUAAAAAAGAAAUGCGACUCAGAAUAAGGCGUCAUGCAACAAAUUGUUUUCCGGUGGCUUGCCAUAAUCUGAAGACAGCAUAUGGCCAAACAAAACAACGCCUUCA